GCCCGGCUAGCUCAAUCGGUAAAGCGUGAGACUCUUAAUCUUAAGGUUGUGGGUUCGACCCCUACAUCGGGCU
RNAcentral lists this transfer RNA (73 nucleotides) under Schizothecium vesticola. It matches the Rfam family "tRNA". From Rfam's summary of the family: Transfer RNA (tRNA) molecules are approximately 80 nucleotides in length. Their secondary structure includes four short double-helical elements and three loops (D, anti-codon, and T loops). The record is from Rfam by way of RNAcentral. Lineage: Eukaryota; Fungi; Ascomycota; Sordariomycetes; Sordariales; Schizotheciaceae.